UACGGAGGGUGCAAGCGUUAAUCGGAAUUACUGGGCGUAAAGCGCACGUAGGUGGUUUGCUAAGUCAGCUGUGAAAUCCCCGGGCUCAACCUGGGCACUGCAGUUGAAACUGGCAAGCUAGAGUAGGGUAGAGGGGUGUGGAAUUCCAGGUGUAGCGGUGAAAUGCGUAGAUAUCUGGAGGAACACCGGGGGCGAAGGCGGCAUCCUGGACCGACACUGACGCUGAGGAGCGUAAGCCAGGGGAGCAAACGGG
RNAcentral lists this ribosomal RNA (253 nucleotides) under uncultured bacterium. RNAcentral describes it as "partial 16S ribosomal RNA". It matches the Rfam family "Bacterial small subunit ribosomal RNA", at positions 524 to 776 of the family's 1533-position model. The record is from RNAcentral.